UUCAAAAAGCUAACCUAGACCUAAAGAAAGAUUAUUAUUUGUGAUUAUUUUCAAUUUGUAUAUUUUUGUCUUGGGUUGUUUGGAACUAUUUUAUUAGAAAUCACUAAAUUUUUGAAUUUUACCUGUGACUAGGGAACAUUGUUAUAUUAAGUCUUGGUAUGAAACAAUGUUAAGACAAUACUGUGUGCUUUUUCAGUCCUAUGAAAGAAAAUGUUUUGGAUGUAACAGAGAAGUACUACAACUUUGUUAUGAAGAUUUGUCUUUAUGUUAUUUUUAUAAUGUUCAUGGAUUAUAUUUGUUUUUAUGUUUUCUUCAGUUUAAAUAAAGUUUAUGUUUUACCCA
RNAcentral lists this long non-coding RNA (342 nucleotides) under Diabrotica virgifera virgifera (western corn rootworm). RNAcentral describes it as "uncharacterized LOC126881252". Lineage: Eukaryota; Metazoa; Arthropoda; Insecta; Coleoptera; Chrysomelidae. The record is from RNAcentral.